This 112-nucleotide microRNA precursor is filed under the name Arabidopsis thaliana (thale cress). RNAcentral's name for it is "MIR2933 microRNA precursor family". It matches the Rfam family "MIR2933 microRNA precursor family". Lineage: Eukaryota; Viridiplantae; Streptophyta; Magnoliopsida; Brassicales; Brassicaceae. The record is from Rfam by way of RNAcentral.
GAAAUUCGUUGGCGAUUUUGAGUGAAAUCGGAGAGGAAAUUCGUCGGCAAUUUUGAGUGAAAUCGGAGAGGAAAUUCGCCGGCGAUUUUGAGUGAAAUCGGAUAGGAAAAUU